GUAGGCAUAGUUUAACAAAAAUAUUAGAUUGUGAUUCUAAAGACAGAGGUUAAACCCCUCUUGCCCACC
RNAcentral lists this transfer RNA (69 nucleotides) under Hypselecara temporalis (emerald cichlid). RNAcentral's name for it is "tRNA-His". It matches the Rfam family "tRNA". From Rfam's summary of the family: Transfer RNA (tRNA) molecules are approximately 80 nucleotides in length. Their secondary structure includes four short double-helical elements and three loops (D, anti-codon, and T loops). Further hydrogen bonds mediate the characteristic L-shaped molecular structure. tRNAs have two regions of fundamental functional importance: the anti-codon, which is responsible for specific mRNA codon recognition, and the 3' end, to which the tRNAs corresponding amino acid is attached (by aminoacyl-tRNA synthetases). tRNAs cope with the degeneracy of the genetic code in two manners: having more than one tRNA (with a specific anti-codon) for a particular amino acid; and 'wobble' base-pairing, i.e. permitting non-standard base-pairing at the 3rd anti-codon position. The record is from RNAcentral. Lineage: Eukaryota; Metazoa; Chordata; Actinopteri; Cichliformes; Cichlidae.